GGCGAUACGGNCACGACUAGAGUGCUGUAGGGGUAACUGGAAUUCCUGGUGUAGCGGUGAAAUGCGCAGAUAUCAGGAGGAACACCGAUGGCGAAGGCAGGUUACUGGGCAGUUACUGACGCUGAGGAGCGAAAGCAUGGGGAGCGAACAGGAUUAGAUACCCUGGUAGUCCAUGCUGUAAACGGUGGGCGCUAGGUGUGGGCUGUGUGUUUGCAGUCUGUGCCGUAGCUAACGCAUUAAGCGCCCCGCCUGGGGAGUACGGCCGCAAGGCUAAAACUCAAAGGAAUUGACGGGGGCCCGCACAAGCGGCGGAGCAUGUGGAUUAAUUCGAUGCAACGCGUAGAACCUUACCUGGGUUUGACAUGCACCAGAUCGGCGUAGAGAUACGUCUUCCCUUGUGGUUGGUGCACAGGUGGUGCAUGGUUGUCGUCAGCUCGUGUCGUGAGAUGUUGGGUUAAGUCCCGCAACGAGCGCAACCCUUGUCUUAUGUUGCCAGCACAUUUUUGGUGGGGACUCAUGAGAAACUGCCGGGGUCAACUCGGAGGAAGGUGGGGAUGACGUCAAAUCAUCAUGCCCUUUAUACCCAGGGCUUCACACAUGCUACAAUGGUCGGUACAACGGGUUGCGACACUGUGAAGUGAAGCUAAUCUCUUAAAGCCGGCCUCAGUUCGGAUUGGGGUCUGCAACUCGACCCCAUGAAGUCGGAGUCGCUAGUAAUCGCAGAUCAGCAACGCUGCGGUGAAUACGUUCCCGGGCCUUGUACACACCGCCCGUCACGUCAUGAAAGUUGGUAACACCCGAAGCCCAUGGCCUAACCACCGUUUGUGGUGGGGGGAGU
RNAcentral lists this ribosomal RNA (838 nucleotides) under uncultured bacterium. RNAcentral's name for it is "bacterial SSU rRNA". It matches the Rfam family "Bacterial small subunit ribosomal RNA", at positions 626 to 1456 of the family's 1533-position model. The record is from RNAcentral.